Jaculus jaculus (lesser Egyptian jerboa) is the source of this 130-nucleotide small nucleolar RNA. RefSeq annotates it as small nucleolar RNA SNORA33. The record is from RefSeq and is a predicted model, not a curated record. NCBI's taxonomy places the organism in Eukaryota, Metazoa, Chordata, Mammalia, Rodentia, Dipodidae. The transcript has a single exon.
AAGCCAGCCAAUUAAUCUGCUUAUCUGAAUGUGUUUCUGUAGAAGCAUAGAAACAGUUGGCAAUAGUGAUGCCACGUUACGAGCCUUAAGGACAGCUGAGGUCAUUAAGAUCCCUGAAAUGGCUACAGUA